Molecule: transfer RNA, 72 nt
Filed under: Gracilaria gracilis
Lineage: Eukaryota; Rhodophyta; Florideophyceae; Gracilariales; Gracilariaceae
Also listed under: 1 other name
Description: tRNA-Thr
Rfam family: tRNA
About the family: Transfer RNA (tRNA) molecules are approximately 80 nucleotides in length. Their secondary structure includes four short double-helical elements and three loops (D, anti-codon, and T loops).
Source: RNAcentral
GCCUUUAUAACUCAAUGGUAGAGUAUUUCCUUGGUAAGGAAAAAGCUAUGGGUUCAAUUCCCAUUAAAGGCU